Molecule: ribosomal RNA, 440 nt
Filed under: uncultured bacterium
Lineage: Bacteria
Description: partial 16S ribosomal RNA
Rfam family: Bacterial small subunit ribosomal RNA
Source: RNAcentral
CCUACGGGUGGCAGCAGUGGGGAAUAUUGCACAAUGGGGGAAACCCUGAUGCAGCGACGCCGCGUGAAGGAAGAAGUAUUUCGGUAUGUAAACUUCUAUUAGCAGGGAAGCAAAUGACGGUACCUGACUAAGAAGCCCCGGCUAACUACGUGCCAGCAGGCGCGGUAAUACGCAGGGGGCAAGCGUUAUCCGGAUUUACUGGGUGUAAAGGGAGCGUAGGCGGUUUAGCAAGUCAGAAGUGAAAGCCCGGGGCUCAACUCUGGGACUGCUGUUGAAACUGUUGAACUAGAUUGCAGGAGAGGUGAGCGGAAUUCGUGGUGUAGCGGUGAAAUGCGUAGAUAUUAGGAGGAACACCAGUGGCGAAGGCAGCUUACUGGACUGCAAAUGACGCUGAGGCUCGAAAGUGUGGGGAUCAAACAGGAUUAGAUACCCGGGUAGUC